GAAAGAUUCAUCGGAAGAGGAUGGGCAUGCGGCGCAUUAGCUAGACGGCGGGGUAACGGCCCACCGUGGCGACGAUGCGUAGGGGUUCUGGGAGGAAGGUCCCCCACACUGGUACUGAGACACGGACCAGACUCCUACGGGAGGCAGCAGUGAGGAAUAUUGGUCAAUGGGAGAGAUCCUGAACCAGCCAAGCCGCGUGAGGGAAGACGGCCCUAUGGGUUGUAAACCUCUUUUGUCGGAGAACAAAACCCGGGACGUGUCCCGGACUGCGUGUAUCCGAAGAAAAAGCAUCGGCUAACUCCGUGCCAGCAGCCGCGGUAAUACGGAGGAUGCGAGCGUUAUCCGGAUUUAUUGGGUUUAAAGGGUGCGUAGGCGGUCCGUUAAGUCAGCGGUAAAAUUGCGGGGCUCAACCCCGUCGAGCCGUUGAAACUGGCAGACUUGAGUUGGCGAGAAGUACGCGGAAUGCGCGGUGUAGCGGUGAAAUGCAUAGAUAUCGCGCAGAACUCCGAUUGCGAAGGCAGCGUACCGGCGCCAGACUGACGCUGAGGCACGAAAGCGUGGGGAUCGAACAGGAUUAGAUACCCUGGUAGUCCACGCAGUAAACGAUGAAUGCUGGUUGUCCGGGUCGAAUGAGAUCUGG
Molecule: ribosomal RNA, 640 nt
Filed under: uncultured bacterium
Lineage: Bacteria
Description: bacterial SSU rRNA
Rfam family: Bacterial small subunit ribosomal RNA
Source: RNAcentral